UAGAAAGUAGUAUAAGGGUAUUACAAAGAUCUUUGACUUCUUAAACAUAAGUUCAAUUCUUAUCUUUCUAA
Molecule: transfer RNA, 71 nt
Filed under: Ceramaster patagonicus
Lineage: Eukaryota; Metazoa; Echinodermata; Asteroidea; Valvatida; Goniasteridae
Description: tRNA-Gln
Rfam family: tRNA
About the family: Transfer RNA (tRNA) molecules are approximately 80 nucleotides in length. Their secondary structure includes four short double-helical elements and three loops (D, anti-codon, and T loops).
Source: RNAcentral